GCAAAAGAUAUAGAGGGUGGAAAGCUUUUUUGACAAACACUUAUCUUAAGGAUAAAGAUGGAAACUUUCUUGAAGAGGCACCGGGACGGCCAAAAAAGUAUGAGAUCUUCAUUGGUGAAGAAGAUUGGGCUAAGUUUGUAGAGCAAAGAGAUGAAGAUUUUCGGAAAAGGAGUGCCAAGAAUAGUGAGAGAGCAUCCAAACCCGCAUAUCCAUACAAAAAAGGGCGUUUGGGAUAUGCACGCUUGGAGGAUAAAAUUUUAGAGGAGACUAAAAGUGAGGAAACCUCACUUCCUGAACAUGUGUUGUGGAGGGAAGCUCGUGUGGGCAAGGAUCAUGCUGUCGAUCCCGAAGUUCAGAGAGUUUUUACUGAAUGUGAGACCUUGUCGCAAUCGGCAUCCACCGGUGAGGGGAGCAUACUUAGUAGAGCACUAGAUGCUCCUGAGUAUCCCGGUCGGGUGAGGGGUAAGGGUCAUGGUGUGACUCCAACCUCUUUUUACAAAAGUCCUAGGAGAA
Molecule: long non-coding RNA, 513 nt
Organism: Vicia villosa (hairy vetch)
Lineage: Eukaryota; Viridiplantae; Streptophyta; Magnoliopsida; Fabales; Fabaceae
Exons: 3
Source: RefSeq, a predicted model, not a curated record